RNAcentral lists this ribosomal RNA (253 nucleotides) under uncultured bacterium. RNAcentral describes it as "partial 16S ribosomal RNA". It matches the Rfam family "Bacterial small subunit ribosomal RNA", at positions 524 to 776 of the family's 1533-position model. The record is from RNAcentral.
UACGUAGGGGGCUAGCGUUGUCCGGAAUCAUUGGGCGUAAAGAGCGUGUAGGCGGUCCGGUAAGUCCGCUGUGAAAGUCGGGGGCUCAACCCUCGAAUGCCGGUGGAUACUGUCGGGCUAGAGUGCGGAAGAGGCGAGUGGAAUUCCUGGUGUAGCGGUGAAAUGCGCAGAUAUCAGGAGGAACACCAAUGGCGAAGGCAGCACUCUGGGACGUGACUGACGCUGAGACGCGAAAGCGUGGGGAGCAAACAGG